UGGGGAAUUGUUCGCAAUGGGCGCAAGCCUGACGACGCAACGCCGCGUGGAGGAUGAAGGUCUUCGGAUUGUAAACUCCUGUUGAUCGGGACGAAAAGCUUCAACCUAAUACGUUGAAGACUGACGGUACCGGUUGAGGAAGCCACGGCUAACUCUGUGCCAGCAGCCGCGGUAAUACAGAGGUGGCGAGCGUUAUUCGGAAUUAUUGGGCGUAAAGGGCGCGUAGGCGGCCAGAUAAGUCCCGGGUGAAAUCCCUCGGCUCAACCGAGGAACUGCCUUGGAAACUGUCUGGCUCGAGGCCGGGAGAGGGUAGUGGAAUUCCCAGUGUAGCGGUGAAAUGCGUAGAUACUGGGAGGAACACCGGUGGCGAAGGCGGCUACCUGGACCGGUUCUGACGCUGAUGCGCGAAAGCGUGGGGAGCAAACAGGAUUAGAUACCCUUGUAGUCCCUGAGCGGGCUGGCAAGGCGCAU
This 471-nucleotide ribosomal RNA is filed under the name uncultured bacterium. RNAcentral describes it as "bacterial SSU rRNA". It matches the Rfam family "Bacterial small subunit ribosomal RNA", at positions 355 to 825 of the family's 1533-position model. The record is from RNAcentral.